UACCUUAUGCGGCAUAGCCGGUAGCGUCUUAUGGACACUGAUGGACUGUCAAGUUUGCUGUAGGUUCGAAUCCUGGUCUAGGGUAA
This is a non-coding RNA of Halocaridina rubra (Hawaiian volcano shrimp), 86 nucleotides long. The record is from the annotation of a GenBank genome assembly. Lineage: Eukaryota; Metazoa; Arthropoda; Malacostraca; Decapoda; Atyidae.